This 280-nucleotide ribosomal RNA is filed under the name Alistipes finegoldii DSM 17242. RNAcentral's name for it is "partial 16S ribosomal RNA". It matches the Rfam family "Bacterial small subunit ribosomal RNA", at positions 495 to 776 of the family's 1533-position model. The record is from RNAcentral. Lineage: Bacteria; Pseudomonadati; Bacteroidota; Bacteroidia; Bacteroidales; Rikenellaceae.
UAUGUAUUGUGUGCCGAGCCGCGGUAAUACGGAGGCUCCAAGCGUUAUCCGGAUUUAUUGGGUUUAAAGGGUGCGUAGGCUGUUUGAUAAGUUAGAGGUGAAAUACCGGGGCUCAACUCCGGAACUGCCUCUAAUACUGUUGAACUAGAGAGUAGUUGCGGUAGGCGGAAUGUAUGGUGUAGCGGUGAAAUGCUUAGAGAUCAUACAGAACACCGAUUGCGAAGGCAGCUUACCAAACUAUAUCUGACGUUGAGGCACGAAAGCGUGGGGAGCAAACAGG